This 490-nucleotide ribosomal RNA is filed under the name uncultured bacterium. Its description in RNAcentral is "partial 16S ribosomal RNA". It matches the Rfam family "Bacterial small subunit ribosomal RNA", at positions 30 to 507 of the family's 1533-position model. The record is from RNAcentral.
AUUGAACGCUGGCGGCAGGCCUAACACAUGCAAGUCGAACGGUAACAGGAAGAAGCUUGCUUCUUUGCUGACGAGUGGCGGACGGGUGAGUAAUGUCUGGGAAACUGCCUGAUGGAGGGGGAUAACUACUGGAAACGGUAGCUAAUACCGCAUAACGUCGCAAGACCAAAGAGGGGGACCUUCGGGCCUCUUGCCAUCGGAUGUGCCCAGAUGGGAUUAGCUAGUAGGUGGGGUUACGGCUCACCUAGGCGACGAUCCCUAGCUGGUCUGAGAGGAUGACCAGCGACACUGGAACUGAGACACGGUCCAGACUCCUACGGGAGGCAGCAGUGGGGAAUAUUGCACAAUGGGCGCAAGCCUGAUGCAGCCAUGCCGCGUGUAUGAAGAAGGCCUUCGGGUUGUAAAGUACUUUCAGCGGGGAGGAAGGGAGUAAAGUUAAUACCUUUGCUCAUUGACGUUACCCGCAGAAGAAGCACCGGCUAACUCCGUG